Molecule: transfer RNA, 70 nt
Filed under: Janus megamaculatus
Lineage: Eukaryota; Metazoa; Arthropoda; Insecta; Hymenoptera; Cephidae
Description: tRNA-Met
Source: RNAcentral
AAAAAGGUAAGCUAAUUUAAGCUCAAAGACUCAUAAUCUUUAUAUAGAAAUUUUAAUUUUCUUCUUUUUA